GAUGAACGCUGGCGGCGUGCCUAAUACAUGCAAGUCGAGCGAACGGACGAGAAGCUUGCUUCUCUGAUGUUAGCGGCGGACGGGUGAGUAACACGUGGAUAACCUACCUAUAAGACUGGGAUAACUUCGGGAAACCGGAGCUAAUACCGGAUAAUAUUUUGAACCGCAUGGUUCAAAAGUGAAAGACGGUCUUGCUGUCACUUAUAGAUGGAUCCGCGCUGCAUUAGCUAGUUGGUAAGGUAACGGCUUACCAAGGCAACGAUGCAUAGCCGACCUGAGAGGGUGAGCGGCGACACGGGAACUCAGCCACGAGCCAGGGACCAACGGGAGACAGACGUAGGGAAUGUUGAGAAGUGGGGGAAAGCGUAACGGAGCAAUGACAGGUGAGAUAAGAAGGUCUUGGAAUCGUCAAACUGUGUGAGGAACGAAGAACAAAUGUGUAAGUAACGGACCACAUCUCGGCGGUACCUAAGCAGAAAGCCACAGCUCACUAAAUG
RNAcentral lists this ribosomal RNA (497 nucleotides) under uncultured bacterium. RNAcentral describes it as "partial 16S ribosomal RNA". It matches the Rfam family "Bacterial small subunit ribosomal RNA", at positions 28 to 507 of the family's 1533-position model. The record is from RNAcentral.